Molecule: long non-coding RNA, 204 nt
Filed under: Bos taurus (domestic cattle)
Lineage: Eukaryota; Metazoa; Chordata; Mammalia; Artiodactyla; Bovidae
Description: long non-coding RNA NONBTAT026032
Source: RNAcentral
AUACAAUUAUAAGGGGACAUUUUAAGGACUUUAAUUAUAAGGAUUCCUAUUGUUUAAUAACAAAUAUGCCUUUUAAAUUUACUAAAUAAAACCCAGUAUGUAAAGCAAUUCACUCUGGUUUUGAAGGAGCAUUUGACAUCAGUGUAAGAGGUCCUCGAAGGCAGGGGUUUGCGGUGUCUAAGGGGAAGGCCCUGUGGACUGGGA